AGACAGACUAUGAAGAGAUACAUAGGGUGAGAAACGGAGGCCUUCAGCCAACAGCUGGGAGAAGCUGAGUCCCAUCAGCCAUUCAAAAGACUGCAGCCCCAGCCAAGAGUUUGAUGUAACCUCAGGAGAGACCCUGAGCCAGAACCACCUAGAAAUCUCCAAGUGAGAAGACCUUACUUGUCUUCUGAAAGUCUGGCCAACGAGCUAUACCUAGUGAUUCCAAAGUCCACAUAUAUUUACUCUGUUCUCACUGUACAAAGUAACCACUCUGAAGUCAAAAAAGCUGGGAUACAUGAAGACUGCCAUCCCUUGAGUCACUUGCCCUGUAGCUGCCACUGUUGGAAAAGGGCUUGCUUCUGUGUCCUUGUGCCCACUUUGAAAAUCCCUGGGAAGUCCUUGGAGUCAGAUGAGCAGGCCUCCGCCACUCUGCCAAAAAGUCUGUUCAAUCAGGAGUCCCCAACCCCUGAGCCAUGGACUGAUAUGGAGCUAUGGUCUGUUAGGAACUGGGCUGCCCAGGAGGAGCAAUGGUGCUUCUACAAUUUCCUUAUAGGAGGAGUGAAGAGUAAGCAUUUGGAUUGGACCAGGAUUUGGAGAACUUGUCAUGUUGCUCUACGUGCAUAUGAAAUACAUCAUUGUAACUUAGAAUGUGAAUUACAGAACAAACAUGAAAGUUAGAAAAAUAUUCUAAACAUAUUUUUAUGAUCUCUACUUGCAAUAAGGAAACUGUUAGGCUUUUCCAUCAAAGAAUAAGUGCAACAAAAACAAAAAUUUCUGGAUGGAAAAAAGGAGAUUUGAGGGGCAAGGCUAAAGCCCCCCAAACCUUCCUCAGGAUGAACACAAACCCCAUCUUUAUUUUCCUGUUGCCACUGUUCCAUGUUGCUGGGCUCUAUUCCAGCAAAAUUUUGGAAAGCGUUGCUACAGUUCUGCUCAUUUCUUUCUCACUUCAGAACAAUGAUGCCCUUUCCAGAUAAAGCAUCUUAAUUAAACAGAUGACAUUUGAACUAGACCUUGAAGAACAGGUCAGAGUUAUAUUGGGAAAGAAGUAGGAGAGGAACACCCAGAAAAUAACAUUUAUGAACAUAAAGGCACAGAAUAUAAAUGUCUCUGACAAAGACAGAAAUCAAGGGUAAAUUUUAGUGUGGCAUAGAUUAAUUCACUAACUCAAUAUAUAUAUAUUUACAUAGAGAGCAUGGAUAGAUACUAGAAAUAAAACAA
Long non-coding RNA from Homo sapiens (human), 1215 nucleotides. The record is from Ensembl. Lineage: Eukaryota; Metazoa; Chordata; Mammalia; Primates; Hominidae.